Molecule: ribosomal RNA, 300 nt
Filed under: uncultured Lactobacillus sp.
Lineage: Bacteria; Bacillati; Bacillota; Bacilli; Lactobacillales; Lactobacillaceae
Description: bacterial SSU rRNA
Rfam family: Bacterial small subunit ribosomal RNA
Source: RNAcentral
GGGAACUCCUGGGCAGGUGCGGCGGUAAUACGGGGGGUGGAGGGGGUAGCUGGAUUUACUGGGUUUAAAGGGUGUGUAGGCGGACUUUUAAGUCAGGGGUGAAAUCCCUAGGCUCAACCUCGGAACUGCCUUUGAUACUAGUAGUCUUGAAUAUUGUUGAGGUGGGCGGAACGGGUCAUGUAGCGGUGAAAUGCAUAGAUAUGACCCGGAACACCGAUUGCGAAGGCAGCCCGCUAAGCAAUGAUUGACGCUGAGGCACGAAAGCGUGGGGAUCAAACAGGAUUAGAUACCCCAGUAGUC